AUUGAACGCUGGCGGCAUACCUUACACAUGCAAGUCGAACGGCAGCACGGGAGCAAUCCUGAUGGCGAGUGGCGAACGGGUGAGUAAAGUAUCGGAACGUGCCCAGUCGUGGGGGAUAACGUAGCGAAAGUUACGCUAAUCCCGCAUACGAUCUCUGGAUGAAAGCGGGGGAUCGCAAGACCUCGCGCGAUUGGAGCGGCCGAUAUAAGAUUAGGUAGCUGGUGGGGUAAAGGCUAACCAAGCCGACGAUCUGUAGCUGGUCUGAGAGGACGACCAGCCACACUGGGACUGAGACACGGCCCAGACUCCUACGGGAGGCAGCAGUGGGGAACUUUGGACAAUGGGCGAAAGCCUGAUCCAGCCAUGCCGCGUGCAGGAUGAAGGCCUUCGGGUUGUAAACUGCUUUUGUACGGAACGAAAAGGUUUGGCCUAAUAAGCUGAGCUCAUGACGGUACCGUAAGAAUAAGCACCGGCUAACUCCGUGCCAGCCGCCGCAGUAA
RNAcentral lists this ribosomal RNA (500 nucleotides) under uncultured bacterium. Its description in RNAcentral is "partial 16S ribosomal RNA". It matches the Rfam family "Bacterial small subunit ribosomal RNA", at positions 30 to 523 of the family's 1533-position model. The record is from RNAcentral.